RNA transcript from Quercus lobata, 3761 nucleotides. RefSeq lists it as uncharacterized. The record is from RefSeq and is a predicted model, not a curated record. The transcript has 8 exons. NCBI's taxonomy places the organism in Eukaryota, Viridiplantae, Streptophyta, Magnoliopsida, Fagales, Fagaceae.
UUGAGUGGGAGAAGAAGAUGGAGUUCGUGUUUGAUUGCCACAAUUACUCCGAGACAAAGAAGGAGGCGGAAUAGAGAACACCCAAUAGACACAUGGGAGGAGAUGAAAGUAGUGAUGAGAAAGCGAUUCGUUCCAAGUUACUACUACCGAGAGUUGUACAAAAAGCUACAAGGUCUUAGACAAGGGAGUCGAAGCGUAGAGGACUACUACAAGGAGAUGGAGAUUGCUAUGAUCUGCGCUAAUGUAGAGGAGGAUCGGGAGGCUACAAUGGCUAGAUUUUUGCUUGGCUUAAACCGGGAGAUCCAUGAUAAGGUAGAGAUGCAGUAUUAUGUGGAAUUGGAAGAUAUGGUGCAUAUGGCUAUCAAAGUGGAACAACAACUCAAGAGAGGGAAUGGGACACAUGCAGGCCAUAACUCUAGUUCUACCUCUUGGAAAUCGAGUCAUGCUAAGCCACUGGACAAGUCACAAAUGCCCAAACUCGAGCCCAAGUCCGCGACCACCAGCCACGUUCCUCAAGGUAAAACCGAAGCCUCUACCUCUAGGAAUCGUGAUAUUAAAUGUUUUAGAUGUCAAGGCAUGGGCCACAUAGCAAGUCAAUGUCCAAACAAGCAAGUCAUGGUGUUGCAAGCCAAUGGUGAAAUUGUGACCGAUGAUGAAGAUUCCGACACAGACAUGCCGCCAUUAGAGGAUGUUUCCGAGGAGGAGUAUUUAGCCCCUGCCAUUGCCAUUGAGCUUGCAAGCAAAAGGAGUUGAUGAAAUACAGUGGGAGAACAUCUUGGUGCUACAUUGAGGCAAGUAGUUGAGUUGAUACUAAUAUUGCUAGGUGCACAAUUAUGGUGGAGAAAUUGGGAUUGCCCAUGGUAAAGCACCCUAGACCGUACAAGUUGCAAUGGCUAAAUGAUAGUGGUGAGAUCAAGGUGAACAAGCAAGUGUUAGUUGCAUUUCGAAUCGGUAAAUACGAAGAUGAAGUGUUGUGUGAUGUAGUACCGAUGCAAGCGGGACACUUAUUGCUAGGGCGUCCAUGGCAAUUUGAUAGGCAAGUGAAGCAUGAUGGCUUUACGAACAAGUACUCUUUUGUACUUAAUCAACGAUUAAUCACUCUUGUACCAUUGACACCGCAGCAAGUAUACGAGGAUCAAGUAAGAUUACAAAAGGAGAAGAGAAAACAAAAGAAUUUCUAUGCAAAAGUGAGUGAGAUCAAGCAAGCAAUGUUUUCAAAUAAGCCGAUGAUUGUACUUUUGUACAAAGAGGCACUUUUAAACACUAACGAACUUGACCUUGCUUUGCCUAGUUCUAUUGUUUCUCUUUUGCAGGAGUACGAGGAUGUCUUCCCCGAGGAAACACCACAUGGGUUACCUCCAAGCUGAGGGAUUGAACAUCAAAUUGAUUUUGUUCCCGGUGCAACCAUUCCAAACCGACCAGCUUAUAGGAGCAAUCCCGAGGAGACAAAGGAGCUUCAACGGCAGAAGGAUGGGACGUGGAGAAUGUGCGUUGAUUGCCGAGCCAUCAACAACAUAACGGUAAAGUAUCGUCAUCCUAUCCCACGCUUAGAUGAUAUGUUAGAUGAGCUGCAUGGUUCUUGCAUAUUUUCUAAGAUUGAUUUAAAAAGUGGUUAUCAUCAAAUUAGGAUAAAAGAAGGAGAUGAAUGGAAAACCGCCUUUAAAACAAAAUAUGGUUUGUAUGAAUGGUUAGUUAUGCCUUUUGGUUUGACUAAUGCUCCGAGCACCUUUAUGAGACUUAUGAACCAUGUUUUGCGUGCAUUUAUAGGCAGAUUUGUUGUUGUCUAUUUUGAUGAUAUACUCAUUUAUAGCAAAAACAUAGACGAUCAUGUAGUACAUUUGAAAUCCGUUUUAGAUGUGCUAAGGAAAGAAAGGUUGUUUGCUAAUUUAAAGAAGUGCACUUUUUUCACCGAUAAGCUUGUAUUUUUGGGAUUUGUUGUUAGUGCACAAGGUAUACAGGUUGAUGAAGAGAAGGUACGUGCAAUCCAAGAUUGGCCGAGUCCCACAAGUGUAGGUAAUGUUCGUAGUUUUCAUGGACUUGCUAGUUUCUACCGGCGGUUCGUGAAGGACUUUAGUAGCUUAGCCGCACCGCUUACCGAAGUGAUCAAGAAGAACGUUGGAUUUCGGUGGGGAGAAGAACAAGAGAAGGCAUUUCAAUUAAUCAAAGAGAAGCUGACUAACGCACCUUUGUUGUCUUUGCCCAACUUUUCUAAAAUUGAAUGUGAUGCUUCAGGUAUUGGUAUAGGAGCCGUUCUUAUGCAAGAAGGACGACCAAUUGCUUACUUCAGCGAGAAACUCAGCGGGGCAGCCUUAAACUACCCAACUUAUGACAAGGAGUUGUAUGCAUUGGUUCGGGCUUUAGAGACGUGGCAGCACUACCUAUGGCCUAAGGAGUUCGUGAUUCACACCGAUCAUGAGUCCUUGAAACACUUGAAGGGCCAACACAAGCUAAACAAAAGGCAUGCGCGAUGGGUGGAGUUCAUAGAGACGUUUCCAUACGUCAUUCGGUACAAGCAAGGUAAGGAGAAUGUAGUCACCGAUGCACUUUCUCGCAGGUAUGCCUUACUCUCCACACUUGAUGCAAAAUUGCUUGGUUUUGAACACAUUAAAGAAUUAUAUGCUGAAGACCACGAAUUUUGUGAGGAAUAUCGAGCUUGUGAGAAAAUCGCCUCUGGUAAGUUCUUUAAGCUUGAUGGAUUCCUAUUUCGAGAAAAUAAGCUAUGCGUGCCUAAUUGUUCUAUGAGGGAGUUAUUAGUGCAGGAAUCACAUGGUGGGGGAUUAAUGGGACAUUUUGGAGUUGCAAAGACUUUAGCUAUUUUGUAGGAACACUUCUAUUGGCCUCACAUGAAACGAGAUGUCGAACGGAUUUGUGGUAGAUGUGUCACAUAUAGGCAAGCUAAAUCCAAAGUGCAGCCCAACGGUUUGUAUACUCCUUUACCAAUUCCUAGUGAGCCUUGGAUUGAUAUUUCAAUGGAUUUUGUGUUAGGAUUGCCUAGGACUAAACGUGGAAGAGAUUCAAUUUUUGCGGUAUUUUCGCCAUUUGAAAUUGUGUAUGGGUUUAAUGCUUUAACUCCAUUGGAUUUAUCUCCUUUACUUUUGACGGAGCACGUUAAUUUAGAUGGCAAAAAGAAAGCUGACUUUGUGAAGCAAAUUCAUGAGAAAGCAAGACUCAACAUUGAGCGAAGAACGGAGCAAUAUGCCACACAAGCUAACAAGGGACGUCGCAAACUAGUUUUUGAACCCAGAGAUUGGGUUUGGCUGCAUAUGAGAAAAGAAAGAUUCCCGGUGAAAAGAUGUUCCAAAUUGCUCCCAAGAGGAGAUGGUCCCUUCCAAGUCCUCGAGCGUAUCAAUGACAAUGCUUACAAGCUAGAUUUACCUGGUGAUGAUUUGAGGACAAAUCCUUUUCAAGAGGAGGGGAAUUAUGGAGAUCAAGGCACCGCUUCGAAGGAUCUCGUUCAAGUACCAAUUGGGCCGGUUACAAGAGCACGAGCAAAGAAGUUUAAGGAUGUACUCAAUGGACUCAUCCAAGAGUUAUGGGCUCAAGCAAAUUCGUGGAGGCCCAUUGAGCAUGAUCCACAUAUUAUUGACAAAACUUGUGAGGUUUAUUCUCUUUGGUUCUUUGAAGAACUACUCGAACUUAUCGGGAAUUCCCGUGGCAUUCAUCUCGACUUAUCAAACGGAGUUUUCACCAUCGUUUGUGGUGUCUUCCUUAUACCGAGGUUCUUGUUUGUCAUAAACAACGGGUCGAGGUCUCCCAUUUGA